RNAcentral lists this ribosomal RNA (300 nucleotides) under uncultured Costertonia sp. RNAcentral describes it as "bacterial SSU rRNA". The stretch from base 53 to 300 matches the Rfam family "Bacterial small subunit ribosomal RNA", at positions 548 to 795 of the family's 1533-position model. Lineage: Bacteria; Pseudomonadati; Bacteroidota; Flavobacteriia; Flavobacteriales; Flavobacteriaceae. The record is from RNAcentral.
GUAAGGUGCGGGCUGGGGGCGGCGUGAGGAGGUUGGGUGUAAGCGUUAUCCUGAAGUUUUGGGCGUGAGGGGGUCGUAGGCGGUGCGUCGCGUCCGGUGUGAAAGUCCAUCGCGUAACGGUGGAUCCGGGCCGGGUACGGGCGGGCUUGAGUGCGGUAGGGGAGACUGGAAUGCCCGGUGUAACGGUGGAAUGUGUAGAUAUCGGGAAGAACACCAAUGGCGAAGGCAGGUCUCUGGGCCGUCACUGACGCUGAGGAGCGAAAGCGUGGGGAGCGAACAGGAUUAGAUACCCCUGUAGUC